AUUGAACGCUGGCGGAAUGCUUUACACAUGCAAGUCGAACGGUAGAGGGGGCAACCCCUCGAGAGUGGCGAACGGGUGAGUAAUAUAUCGGAACGUGCCCAGUCGUGGGGAAUAACGUAGCGAAAGUUACGCUAAUACCGCAUACGAUCUAAGGAUGAAAGCGGGGGACCUGAGAGGGCCUCGCGCGAUUGGAGCGGCCGAUGGCAGAUUAGGUAGUUGGUGGGGUAAAGGCCUACCAAGCCUGCGAUCUGUAGCUGGUCUGAGAGGACGACCAGCCACACUGGGACUGAGACACGGCCCAGACUCCUACGGGAGGCAGCAGUGGGGAAUUUUGGACAAUGGGCGAAAGCCUGAUCCAGCCAUACCGCGUGUGGGAAGAAGGCCUUCGGGUUGUAAACCACUUUUGUCAGGGAAGAAAUGCUCUGGGCUAAUACCCUGGGGAGAUGACGGUACCUGAAGAAUAAGCACCGGCUAACUACGUGCCAGCAGCCGCGGUAA
RNAcentral lists this ribosomal RNA (498 nucleotides) under uncultured bacterium. RNAcentral describes it as "partial 16S ribosomal RNA". It matches the Rfam family "Bacterial small subunit ribosomal RNA", at positions 29 to 523 of the family's 1533-position model. The record is from RNAcentral.